AGCCCUCAUCUCUCAUAAUCAUAAUCCUAUUUCCGACCGUUUUCUAUAAGCUUCCCAAUUUUUGAACUCUUUCUGCUCCAUGUUAACAAAGAACUCUCUAAUUGUACCGCAAAUAUUCGGGUCGGUUGAGUUCAUCAUUUUUUUUAAUCAUUGGGCU
Brugia malayi is the source of this 157-nucleotide non-coding RNA. The record is from RefSeq and is a predicted model, not a curated record. NCBI's taxonomy places the organism in Eukaryota, Metazoa, Nematoda, Chromadorea, Rhabditida, Onchocercidae.